This 67-nucleotide transfer RNA is filed under the name Marmota monax (woodchuck). It matches the Rfam family "tRNA". Rfam says of the family: Transfer RNA (tRNA) molecules are approximately 80 nucleotides in length. Their secondary structure includes four short double-helical elements and three loops (D, anti-codon, and T loops). Lineage: Eukaryota; Metazoa; Chordata; Mammalia; Rodentia; Sciuridae. The record is from Rfam by way of RNAcentral.
GGUAUAGCUCAGUUGGUAGAGUGCUUGUCUCAGAAGCACAAGGCCCUGGGUUCAAUCCCCAGAACCA